CGGAACGGGUGAGUAACGCGUGACCAACCUGCCCCAUGCUCCAGAAUAGCUCUUGGAAACGGGUGGUAAUGCUGGAUGCUCCAACUUGACGCAUGUCUUGUUGGGAAAGUGUUUAGUGGCAUGGGAUGGGGUCGCGUCCUAUCAGCUUGUAGGCGGGGUAAUGGCCCACCUAGGCUUCGACGGGUAGCCGGCCUGAGAGGGCGGACGGCCACAUUGGGACUGAGAUACGGCCCAGACUCCUACGGGAGGCAGCAGCA
This 257-nucleotide ribosomal RNA is filed under the name uncultured Gardnerella sp. RNAcentral describes it as "partial 16S ribosomal RNA". It matches the Rfam family "Bacterial small subunit ribosomal RNA", at positions 98 to 355 of the family's 1533-position model. Lineage: Bacteria; Bacillati; Actinomycetota; Actinomycetes; Bifidobacteriales; Bifidobacteriaceae. The record is from RNAcentral.